AGUGAACGCUGGCGGUAGGCCUAACACAUGCAAGUCGAACGGCAGCACAGUAAGAGCUUGCUCUUACGGGUGGCGAGUGGCGGACGGGUGAGGAAUACAUCGGAAUCUACUUUUUCGUGGGGGAUAACGUAGGGAAACUUACGCUAAUACCGCAUACGACCUACGGGUGAAAGCAGGGGAUCUUAGGACCUUGCGCGAUUGCAUGAGCCGAUGUCGGAUUAGCUAGUUGGCGGGGUAAAGGCCCACCAAGGCGACGAUCCGUAGCUGGUCUGAGAGGAUGAUCAGCCACACUGGAACUGAGACACGGUCCAGACUCCUACGGGAGGCAGCAGUGGGGAAUAUUGGACAAUGGGCGCAAGCCUGAUCCAGCCAUACCGCGUGAGUGAAGAAGGCCUUCGGGUUGUAAAGCCCUUUUGUUGGGAAAGAAAAGCAGCAGGUUAAUACCCCGCUGUUCUGACGGUACCCAAAGAAUAAGCACCGGCUAACUUCGUG
RNAcentral lists this ribosomal RNA (492 nucleotides) under uncultured bacterium. RNAcentral describes it as "partial 16S ribosomal RNA". It matches the Rfam family "Bacterial small subunit ribosomal RNA", at positions 29 to 507 of the family's 1533-position model. The record is from RNAcentral.